AGAGUUUGAUCCUGGCUCAGAACGAACGCUGGCGGCAGGCCUAACACAUGCAAGUCGAACGAUAAGCCACUUUCGGGUGGUGAAGAGUGGCGAACGGGUGAGUAACACGUGGGAAUUUGCCUCUCGGUGGGGAACAACGGUUGGAAACGACUGCUAAUACCGCAUACGCCGGAGACGGGAAAGAUUUAUUGCCGAGAGAUGAGCCCGCGCUAGAUUAGGUAGUUGGUGGGGUAAAUGCCUACCAAGCCGACGAUCUAUAGCUGGUCUGAGAGGAUGGCCAGCCACACUGGAACUGAGACACGGUCCAGACUCCUACGGGAGGCAGCAGUGGGGAAUCUUGCACAAUGGGCGAAAGCCUGAUGCAGCCAUGCCGCGUGAGCGAAGAAGGUCCUAUGGAUUGUAAAGCUCUUUCAGAUGGGAAGAUGAUGACGGUACCAUCAGAAGAAGCCCCGGCUAACUUCGUGCCAGCAGCCGCGGUAAUACGAAGGGGGCGAGUGUUGUUCGGAUUUACUGGGCGUAAAGGGCGUGUAGGCGGAUCGAACAGUCAGAGGUGAAAGCCCAGGGCUCAACCCUGGAACUGCCUUUGAUACUUUCGGUCUAGAGUGUGUGAGAGGGUGGUGGAAUAUCCAGUGUAGAGGUGGAAUUCAUAGAUAUUGGAUGGAACACCAGUGGCGAAGGCGGCCACCUGGCGCAUAACUGACGCUGAAGCGCGAAAGCGUGGGUAGCAAACAGGAUUAGAUACCCUGGUAGUCCACGCAGUAACGAUGUGUGCUAACCGUUGGAAUUAUUCAGCGGUGCAGCUAACGCGAUAAGCACACCGCCUGGGGAGUACGAUCGCAAGAUUAAAACUCAAAGGAAUUGACGGGGACCCGCACAAGCGGUGGAGCAUGUGGUUUAAUUCGAAGCAACGCGCAGAACCUUACCGGCUCUUGACAUGAUGUGUUUGGUUACCAGAGAUGGUUUCCUUCAGUUCGGCUGGCUCAUCACAGGUGCUGCAUGGCUGUCGUCAGCUCGUGUCGUGAGAUGUUAGGUUAAGUCCUGAAACGAGCGCAACCCCUAUCCUUAGUUACCAUCAGUUAGGCUGGGAACUUUAGGGACACUGCCGGUGUUAAACCGGAGGAAGGUGGGGAUGACGUCAAGUCCUCAUGGCCCUUACGGGCCGGGCUACACACGUGCUACAAUGGCGACUACAGUGUGAAGCGACCCCGCGAGGGUGAGCUAAUCAAUAAAAGUUGUCUCAGUUCAGAUUGCACUCUGCAACUCGAGUGCAUGAAGUUGGAAUCGCUAGUAAUCGCAGAACAGCAUGCUGCGGUGAAUACGUUCCCGGGUCUUGUACACACCGCCCGUCAAACCAUGGAAGUUGGUUUUACCUUAAGCUGGUGCGCUAACCUUCGGGGGGUAGCCAACCACGGUAAGAUCAGUGACUGGGGUUAAGUCGUAACAAGGUAACC
RNAcentral lists this ribosomal RNA (1451 nucleotides) under uncultured bacterium. RNAcentral's name for it is "bacterial SSU rRNA". It matches the Rfam family "Bacterial small subunit ribosomal RNA". The record is from RNAcentral.